UUAACUCAAAUUUUUAUGGAGUUGGAACGUUUGCGUACGUUUGACGCUAAGGACGCUGUUCCAACUGCAUACAAAUUUGAGUUA
Bombyx mori (domestic silkworm) is the source of this 84-nucleotide non-coding RNA. Lineage: Eukaryota; Metazoa; Arthropoda; Insecta; Lepidoptera; Bombycidae. The record is from Rfam.